AGCGGUUUCUCUUUCUCUUUUUCUCUCUCUGUCUAUCUCUCUUUGUUUUCUCUUUUUCUCUCUCUACUAAGGGCUCAUCGGCCUCGUUGAGACAUCCGUGAUUUGUCGGGUUGAGAUACGGGGGUUGAGGUGUGCGUCUGGCUUAUUGAGACAUCCGAAGCGUUGUCGGAUUGAGAAAUAAGUGGCGUUGUAUAUUAAAGAAUUAAGAAGUCUGCUAGGUUGAGAAACGGGGGUCCCGGUUCGCGGGUCUGCUUCGUUGAGACACCUGGGGCUUAUUUUAAGAGUUAAGACGUCUGCCAGGUUGAGAAACGGGGGUCUUGGUUAGCAAGUCGGCUUCGUUGAGACACUUGGGUCGUAUAUUAAAGAGUUAAAAAAGGUCAGCCAAAUUGAGAAACUGGGGUCUCGAGUAGCGAGUCGGCCUGGUUGAUAUAUUUGGAACUAUUCGGAAUUAAAAAGUCAGCCAAAUUGAGAAACUGGGGUCUCAUUUAGUGGGUCGGCCUGGUUGAUAUAUUUGGAACGAUUCGGAAUUAAGAAGUCUGUUUUCUCUCUCUCUCUUUCUAUCUAUCUAUGGGGAAUGCUCUGGAAACCAGUCCUAUAUAUGUGUUAUUUGAAUCCUAAGUAUAAUAAGAAAUUUAGAAUGUUAAGUUACAAGUUGACCAAAUGGUUAGGGGAUGAAGCCUGGCCUGUAGGGGGCACAUGGUAUGUUGAGACAAUUAAAUAAGCAGAGGUGUUGAUAUGGGAAAGGAAGACAGGAAAGAAAUGGAAGAAAGGAAUUAAAACAUGGAAAUCAGGAACAGAGGAGAAGCAUGAGGAGAGUAGAGUUCGAAGUUGGAUGGAUACUGCAUGUAAGAAGGGGAUAGAGUAGGUAUGUUACAAAACCUACCUGAAUUGUCAAUGAGAAUCUGCCCAGGCCGUGUGCGUGCUUUUGGCGCUGUUUAGAGGGGGCAGGUUUAAAACGCGAUUUUUACUGGGCUGUUGCAGUCAAAAAUGUUCAGCCUAGUGAAUCAUUGACGGAGAAUCGCUGGGGGACCCCGUCGCAAAGGGUGUUAUUGGUUUUUAUGGCCUUGUAUGGUGGUUGUAGUAGUUUGGAGGUCAUUCUCUAGAUCCUCGACCUCUCGCAGUCCCAGGGUUUUAUAAAGCAAACAAGUACCGGUAUGUACUUUAUGUUUACAUUAAAAGGGGCUUCUUAAGAACCCUGUAAAUAAAGUUUUCUAUAGCGAGUAGCUCAUUUUGGGCUUUUUAUAUCCCGCAGUAUUUUUCUUCACAGGAACCCACUAGAAAGCCGAUUUAAGGUGGGCUUUGGUUUACAGCAAUUGAACACUAAAUUCCUUCCAUUUGGCCUAUAAAUUGAUGUAAAUGAGAUUUAAAAAUCAUGUUUUAUUGUGAAUUAUUUGUGAAUAUAAUUUGGACACUUAGGCUAUUUAAAAAUGUUAAUCAUUUAUUAAGAAAUAGAUAUAUGUUUAGAUCUAGUAAUUGAAGUUUGAAAUUAGCUACAAUUGGGUAACUAACUAAUUAUAUGCUUUUAUUUCAGGUCAUCCAAGUAAGAUUAUUUUAUAUUUGUGUCAGAAUGGUUUAAUCUAUGAUAACUGAAAAUUUCAUUCAGUUCUCUUAAUUUUUAAGAAGGUUAUGGGCUUUUGACGGUCCAUGAUCACAGUUUUUUUGUUAUGUCCAUAGAAAAUCAAUAGGGAACAAGAUGCUAAUUUCCGAGUAUGAAAAUGGCCAUAACCUUUUUAUUACUUGAGAUAUGAAAGUGAAUUAGGUGUCAAAUUAAACUUAUUGUUAUGCUUUAUCUGAUGGGAUAAAUUGCAGACUUGAUUUUUUUUAAAUCUCACAAUUUUGUAACUUUGCUAGAUAGAGUUAAGAAACUAGGAUAGCACUAGGAAAGGAUGGAAUUAAUUGCAACUAGAAUGCCAGUGGGCAGAGGAACAAGAGAAUAGAAUUAAAAGACAGGCAGGAGGUGAGAAACAGGUGAUGGUUCGUAAAAAAUAAACCCAGUACUGGUAAAUCCUCUGGAGGAGACUUCAUGUCUGGCACGACGACCCUAUUUGGUAAUGAAAAUGAGGAGGAGUUAGAUAAUCUUGUGAGAUGUCCACCUCCCUAUGCCCUACCAGUAGCAAUGGCAUCUUUACCUGGGACAGUUCCAUCAGUAACAUCCCUAUACCUUGAAGUUCUGACCUUACAAAGCUCUCCAGGAUUGGGAGCACGGGAAUGCCUUUCUGUGCGUAAUUUGUUUAAGGCAUUGAUGCUACCAGAACAGCUGAUCAUUAUUAAAUGUACUGCACACACUGGUGCUGGGGACCCUAUAGCAAAAGGUAAUGAAUUUGCCGAUAGUGUAUCCAAGCAAGCAGCCUGUACAUCCAAAUGCGUGGUGACAUCUGGUAAACAGAUACUAGCAAAUAGAACGGUCCUGCCAGAUAUGAGGGAGGUAUGUACAUUACAGAGGGACGCCUCUUGUAUAUAAUAAUAACUAUGGAAACAAGAGGGCUGUGCCAUUGAUUCAGCACACCCCGCUUGGACAAGUUGGUGUAUAACGAUACAUUUUUACCCGUCUUACCCAUGCUGGUAAGGAGGGAAUGAUAGGAUAACAAAGGAAAUGUGGUGGCACCCGAAAAUUUGAUGAGGCACUGAAGCAGGCCUCUGAAUGUAAAAUUUGCCAAUGAAAUAAUCCAGGCAAACCAUUUUAAGAUACCCUCAGGGGUGACACCAAUGCCAUCAUGAUCGUUUGAAUGCAUACAGAUUGAUUUUAUUGAGAUGCCAAGGGCCCAGUGUUAUAAAUAUUGCGUAGUGAUUUUAGAUUUAUUUAGUAGGUGGAGUAAAGCUCUACCAACCACCAAUAAUAAGGAAAUAUGUGCACAUUUUAAUAUCCAACAGCAAUUCACUGUGUACACCACCCACAGGCAUCUGGGAUGGUGGAAAGAGUCAAUGGGGAUUGCAAAACAAAAUUACCCAGGAGAUCUACAUUCCCAGGUUGGAGGAGCUUUGCUGGGAGCCAUAAAAGCUAUACGAUGGGGGUGCUGGGACAAGAAGAAAUUGAAACUGUAUUGAAAAGAACAACCAAGUGUUGCUAACAACAUGAACUGCUGUAAAGAUUGAAGAUCAUCAUCGCUGGAUACAUUUGAUUGACUGUGAACAGUUUGUGGAAACAGGGACGAUGGGCUAUUGAUGUUCCUUUAUUCUGGGGUGGCCCAGCCCACAUGGACUGAACUUUCUUCAGAAUGGCAAACUUGCGGACUAACACACAUUUAAAGGAUGGUACACACCUCCUUUUAAACAAGAUUUAAGUCAAACAUGACAAGCACAGCAAAGAUACCCUGACUACAGACAGUAAGAGGUCUGCAAAGGCCAGUUAAAUCUACCUGUUUUUGCCACAACCAAGGCACUGGUGUAUUUUAAGGAAACAGUAUAUUUGUGACAGGGCAUUGUUAUGUUGCAAAUGCAGUGCCACACAAGAGAAGCAUGAACCAGUUACACCAGCACACAGGGAAAUCCAAAUGAAGCCGAAUAAAGGCUGAGCAAUUUUUAUGAUCCUUUUCCUGUCCUAUGGUAGUAUCUUAGUGUCACAUCCGGGGGAGGUUGGUGGCCAUUUAAAAUGUUUGGAGGGACUUGUGAAACGAUUGUCCACUAUGAAUUGAUUGUGUUACUAGUGUACUAUUAAUUUGUCUGAUGAGAUGCUUAUGGUCUUUCGUAUGUACUCAGCAAGGACUGUAGUUGUUAUCAAAAUUUUGAUAAAAGGAUGGAAUGAUGAAGCC
Molecule: long non-coding RNA, 3749 nt
Organism: Leucoraja erinaceus (little skate)
Lineage: Eukaryota; Metazoa; Chordata; Chondrichthyes; Rajiformes; Rajidae
Exons: 2
Source: RefSeq, a predicted model, not a curated record